CCGAGCGAGGGCUCCGGCCCGACCUCCAACCCCAUGUUUUCCGACUCUGUUGCCUCGGGGGCGACCCGGCCUUCGGGCGUCAGGGGCCCCCGGUGGUCCACAUCAACACUGCAUCUGUGCGUCUGAGUAACAAAUAAAUCAAUCA
RNAcentral lists this unclassified non-coding RNA (145 nucleotides) under uncultured Teratosphaeria. RNAcentral describes it as "sequence contains ITS1". Lineage: Eukaryota; Fungi; Ascomycota; Dothideomycetes; Mycosphaerellales; Teratosphaeriaceae. The record is from RNAcentral.